This 587-nucleotide small RNA is filed under the name Pan troglodytes (chimpanzee). RNAcentral describes it as "retained intron". The record is from RNAcentral. Lineage: Eukaryota; Metazoa; Chordata; Mammalia; Primates; Hominidae.
GAUUCCUGAUGUACCUCCCAUAGGAAACGAUGACUGGCUGGGCUGCUGGGGUCACCACAUGAAGUCUCCUAGUUUCCGAUCCAUUCGAGAGCAUCAGAAGCUAAACCAUUUCCCAGGCUCAUUCCAGAUUGGGAGGAAGGACCGGCUAUGGCGGAACCUGUCACGUAUGCAGAGCCGCUUUGGCAAGAAGGAGUUCAGUUUCUUCCCCCAGUCCUUUAUCCUGCCCCAGGACGCCAAGCUCCUGCGCAAAGCGUGGGAGAGCAGCAGCCGCCAAAAGUGGAUUGUGAAGCCACCAGCAUCAGCUCGAGGCAUUGGCAUCCAGGUUAUUCACAAGUGGAGUCAGCUCCCCAAGCGAAGGCCCCUCCUGGUACAGAGGUGAGCCUGUAGCACAUAUCCCCUACCCCAUCCUCCCACCUCCUUGGCCUCGAGGUUCCCUUCUUACAAUGUUCUGCCCUUUGUUCUCCCAGCCAAAGAGCUUCCUUAGCCAACUGUUUUAAGGUCUUUAUCUUGGGGACUGUUAGCUGGCUUUUGCUGUGGCUUGGUUACCCACUGAGCCCCAUCGUCUGGCUGUAUGAGAAGCUGGCCUU